RNAcentral lists this transfer RNA (68 nucleotides) under Florometra sp. BMK-2020. Its description in RNAcentral is "tRNA-Glu". It matches the Rfam family "tRNA". From Rfam's summary of the family: Transfer RNA (tRNA) molecules are approximately 80 nucleotides in length. Their secondary structure includes four short double-helical elements and three loops (D, anti-codon, and T loops). Further hydrogen bonds mediate the characteristic L-shaped molecular structure. tRNAs have two regions of fundamental functional importance: the anti-codon, which is responsible for specific mRNA codon recognition, and the 3' end, to which the tRNAs corresponding amino acid is attached (by aminoacyl-tRNA synthetases). tRNAs cope with the degeneracy of the genetic code in two manners: having more than one tRNA (with a specific anti-codon) for a particular amino acid; and 'wobble' base-pairing, i.e. permitting non-standard base-pairing at the 3rd anti-codon position. The record is from RNAcentral. Lineage: Eukaryota; Metazoa; Echinodermata; Crinoidea; Comatulida; Antedonidae.
GUUUUUAUAGUUGAAAACAACAUCUGCUCUUCAAGCAGAAGGUUUGAGUUAAAAGCUCAAUAAAAAUG